UUGUUGGUAAGGUAAAAGCUUACCAAGGCUUCGAUCAGUAGCUGGUCUGAGAGGACGACCAGCCACACUGGGACUGAGACACGGCCCAGACUCCUACGGGAGGCAGCAGUGGGGAAUUUUGGACAAUGGGGGCAACCCUGAUCCAGCCAUGCCGCGUGAGUGAAGAAGGCSUUCGGGUUGUAAAGCUCUUUCAGCCGGAACGAAACGGUUACGGAUAACACCCGUGACUACUGACGGUACCGGAAGAAGAAGCACCGGCUAACUACGUGCCAGCAGCCGCGGUAAUACGUAGGGUGCGAGCGUUAAUCGGAAUUACUGGGCGUAAAGCGUGCGCAGGUGGUUUUGUAAGUCAGAUGUGAAAGCCCCGGGCUCAACCUGGGAACUGCGUUUGAAACUACAAGACUAGAGUGUGGCAGAGGGGGGUGGAAUUCCGCGUGUAGCAGUGAAAUGCGUAGAGAUGUGGAGGAACACCGAUGGCGAAGGCAGCCCCCUGGGUCAACACUGACGCUCAGGCACGAAAGCAUGGGGAGCAAACAGGAUUAGAUACCCUGGUAGUCCAUGCCCUAAACGAUGUCAACUAGUUGUCGGGCCUUUACGGGCUUGGUAACGUAGCUAACGCGUGAAGUUGACCGCCUGGGGAGUACGAUCGCAAGAUUAAAACUCAAAUGAAUUGACGGGGACCCGCACAAGCGGUGGAUUAUGUGGAUUAAUUCGAUGCAACGCGAAAAACCUUACCUACCCUUGACAUGUAUCGAAGCCCGCAGAAAAGCGGGGGUGCCCGAAAGGGAACGAUAACACAGGUGCUGCAUGGCUGUCGUCAGCUCGUGUCGUGAGAUGUUGGGUUAAGUCCCGCAACGAGCGCAACCCUUGUCAUUAAUUGCCAUCAUUUAGUUGGGCACUUUAAUGAGACUGCCGG
RNAcentral lists this ribosomal RNA (916 nucleotides) under uncultured bacterium. Its description in RNAcentral is "bacterial SSU rRNA". It matches the Rfam family "Bacterial small subunit ribosomal RNA", at positions 246 to 1155 of the family's 1533-position model. The record is from RNAcentral.